Molecule: ribosomal RNA, 253 nt
Filed under: uncultured bacterium
Lineage: Bacteria
Description: partial 16S ribosomal RNA
Rfam family: Bacterial small subunit ribosomal RNA
Source: RNAcentral
UACGUAGGGGGCGAGCGUUGUCCGGAGUUACUGGGCGUAAAGCGCACGCAGGCGGUCUGUGAAGUUUGGAGUGACAGUUGGUGGCUCAACCACCAAAGUGCUUUGAAAACUGAUAGACUUGAGGGCUUCAGAGGGACACGGAAUUCCGUGUGGAGUGGUGAAAUGCGUAGAGAUCCGGAGGAACACCAAAGGCGAAGGCAGUGUCCUGGGGAGUACCUGACGCUCAGGUGCGAAAGCCAGGGGAGCGAACGGG